UCUACGGGGGGCAGCAGUGAGGAAUAUUGGUCAAUGGGCGCGAGCCUGAACCAGCCAAGUAGCGUGAAGGAUGACUGCCCUACGGGUUGUAAACUUCUUUUAUAAAGGAAUAAAGUGAGGCACGUGUGCCUUUUUGUAUGUACUUUAUGAAUAAGGAUCGGCUAACUCCGUGCCAGCAGCCGCGGUAAUACGGAGGAUCCGAGCGUUAUCCGGAUUUAUUGGGUUUAAAGGGAGCGUAGAUGGGUUGUUAAGUCAGUUGUGAAAGUUUGCGGCUCAACCGGAAAAUUGCAAUUGAUACUGGAAGCCGUGAGUACAGUUGAGGGAGGCGGAAUUCGUGGUGUAGCGGUGAAAUGCUUGAUAUCACGAAGAACUCCGAUUGCGAAGGCAGCUUACUAAACUGCCACUGACAUUGAUGCUCGAAAGUGUGGGUAUCAAACAGGAUUAGAUACCCGGGUAGUC
RNAcentral lists this ribosomal RNA (459 nucleotides) under uncultured bacterium. Its description in RNAcentral is "partial 16S ribosomal RNA". It matches the Rfam family "Bacterial small subunit ribosomal RNA", at positions 338 to 795 of the family's 1533-position model. The record is from RNAcentral.